Molecule: long non-coding RNA, 16039 nt
Filed under: Capsicum annuum
Lineage: Eukaryota; Viridiplantae; Streptophyta; Magnoliopsida; Solanales; Solanaceae
Description: long non-coding RNA (CANN_LNC016133)
Source: RNAcentral
AAUAAUAACGUAUAAUAUUUGAUGAAAGUCGAUUUCUAUACCAACUUCUGCAAUCAUUAUACUUAUUUCAUACUGAUGUUAUACAGAAUUCAUACACGAAAUAGUUUAAUAAGUAUAUACAAGAUAAUUUUCACUAUACCAUUCUUAUGAAAGAUUACGAUAUAUAUUUAAAUCCUUAUUUAUGUUGUUACCAAUACAAACUGAUUGUUCAAUAUUUUUUCUCUAAUAUCCAUUGACAUAUCUUUUAUUGUUAUAUACAAUGAGUAUUUUAUAAAGAAAUUGACAAUGCUCCUUAUAUCAUAUUAUUUUUAAAGAACAAAAGGAAAAUUAGAAGAAAGAAAAUUUCUGAUGAAGGAGAACAAAUCGUUGGUUGAAUAAUGAUUCACAAUGGAACAAUUUGUUGGUUGAAUAUUCUAGGACUUCUACGCGAAGGAGUAGAAUCAAAUUUUGAUUUAGACAUGAUUCUCAAUGGAGAAUGAAAAAAACAAAUAUAUCAAUUUUAUGUUUUUCGAAAAGAAGAUGGAUAUAAUCUUAAACCCACUUUUUUCAAUGAAGAAGAUGAAUAUUAUAUGAAACCCACUUUUUUUCAAUCUUGUAUUUUCAAGGGAAGAAUAUGAAUAUUAUAUGAGUAAGUUAAUGGAAUCAGAAUUUUCAAUAAAUUUUUGAAAGGUUGAGUAUUAGAAUGGAGAAAGAGAAUAUAUAUUUACCAUAAUUAUCAAUACACAAUUUAAGGGGAAUAUUGAUUACAACCCUAUAAAUAUGAAACUGAUUUUAAAUUGUAUAAUUAAAAAUAAAUUUUGAAAAUAUAAUUAAAAUAAUAUAUCUUUAAAUAAGUUGCUAUAACUUUAACUAAAUUGCUAUUAAUGCAAUUAUCUAAAAGUGUUGCUAAAAUUUGCUAUUUCAGAUCUAAUAAUACUAUAGGGGAUAAUUUUCUCUAAGAAUUAAAGAAAAGGAUCCAUUUAUAUGAAAACAAUAUUCAGACAAAAUUUGAGACUACACAAGAUAUCAAAAUGUAUUAUUUUCCUUUUACACAGCUAGGCUAUAAGAACAUCAACACACUCAAACCAGGACCUCAAGAUCAUUAUUAAGACGCCAAGAGAACGUUAACAACAUUCAACGUCAAGAGACGACCAAACAAUUGUGAGUGAAACAAAUCAAGAACAUACUAUGCAGAAUUUCGUCAAGACGCAAUUUUUCAACCAAGUAGUUAAACAAAUCAUGGUAUAGAGCUCGACUCAAUUAAUUUUUUAUCAAUAAGUUAUUUUACAUUCGAGCAGGACAAGACGAGGAAGAAAUUAAUUUUAAGAUUUUAUACUUUAGCCAGAUAAACAGCAGGAAAAGAUAUCACUAAAAACACACAAUGAGACAUAUUUUCCAGCAGCUUACAAACAACACAAAAAGAGAUUAUAACUAUAGGAAUAUCUCAACAAGAAUAUCAUCGCAACUAUACCUAUGGCCUUCGAGGCCUCUACAGCAAGCAAUCCCAGCAUACAACAACUAUGAUUACAAAACUAUGGAGAAAGAAUGAAGAAGAAAACAAUGACAAAUUAAAAGUAAAGGUGUUUACCUUGUUCGGGGAAACAAAACAAGACUUGAGCUAUUGUCGGAAUCUCCUCGCCACCACCGAAAGCUAAGAUUAAAUCCAAAACUGACUAAGAGAAAUUUCAAUUGUCAUUUUCUUUUCCUCGGAAUAUUUUAAAGCUUAUUCCUCAAAAGCCCUUUUUCUUUUUUUCUCCUUCCUCCUCAUUUUCAACGAAAACAGCAAAAAUAUCAAUAGGAAAAGCUUUAGGGUCCAGUUUUUAUUCCUUUCAAGGUGGGAUGGGAAAUUGGAUAGAAAUUCGAAGAGAGGAUUUCAAAAUUUCAAAAUAGGAUUAAUAUCCACCAUCCACCUAUGUACGAAUCGGACGAUAGUGAGAUAUUAUACCGUUGAGAGAGACAGAUGGACAGUUUCUAGGCUCUUCUAGAAGUGGACAACUCAUUAAUCGCACAUAAAUGAUGAUUUUAGGGUUGUGUAAGUUGUCGAAGGAUGAUGCUGCGUUUAUCAUGGGUUCGGGUCGUUGGGUCUAGUGCAGGUCACCAUUUAUGGUGGGAGUUAGAAUGGGUUGGUUCGGAGAUUUUUGGUUGAAAUUGUCAUCGUUGUCGAUGUUUUUAAGUUGUACGCAGCUUUUGAUGAUGAUGUUGCUUUUAUCGAUUCUUGAUGGUGAAGAUAUAAGGUGGGACGGAUCAGAUUUGGUUUUGGACUGCUGGAUCUAUUUUAAUUAUUAUUGGCUUGGGCUGCUGAUUUAAUUUGAAGGUAUGGGUUUUAAUUGGGGUUAUUUAAUAACCCCAAUUAGAUUUAAUUGGGUUAAAAUAACCCUAAUUAAAUUAGGAAUUUGGCAAUUUUUGAAAUUAUUUUAGAAAAAAUAAUCUCAAUAAAAAAAUAAUUUCAAUUAAGAUUUAGCCUAUUCUAUUUAAAUUUUGACCAAAUUAAAAGUCGAUUGGCCAAUUGAAUUGCAAUUGUGGUCAAUUUAGUUUCAAUUAUGAUCAAAUUUAAUAGAUUGGUUAAAUUAAAUUGAAAUUCGAUACGAAUUAAUUCUUCCUUUAAUCUCGGCCUUUUUGCUUUAAUAAAAUCAAACUCAUAUUUAUCCAAACAAAUUGUUCUUUAGAAUAAAUUAUAUUUAAAACAAGAUUUUGAUCAUUUAUAUUUAUUUUCAAGAUAUGCCUUGAUUAAAGUUUGAUAUUUUGUAAAAUAAAUAUUUAAGUAACAAAAUUAUAAAAUUUCAUAUAAUUGAAUACGACAAUAUAUAAUCGCUACUUAAAAUGACAAAUUUACGCAAAAAAAUACUUUGAAAAGUUUUUUAUUUAGAUAAAAUAAAUUUUAUAAUUUUAUUCAAAACCGAAGAAACUCAUAAUUAAAUUUAGUUAUAGAGGGCAAAAAUUAGGUGUCAACAACUGCCCCCUCCCUUUGGGUAGGGUGGAUUGGGCAAAGAGAGGUUGACGUUCCUAAUUUUGUCCGACCACAAAUUCAAAUCCAAAGGAGGUUGGUUUUAGCACGAGUUUCAUGGAGUUAUAGAUGGACCUUGGUAUCUGAUUUCCUACAUAUCUUAGGUUACAUGAGAAUUCAGGCCACUUGUAGUUUAUAAAACUUGAUUUAAAGUAGGAUUUUUAAAAAAUUCACCAGCUAUCUCGUUUUUAGAGUUUUUAAAAAAAACCGAAAUGCUGGGGAAUAAAGGGAUUUGGGGGGAGGUUGAAAUGCAGUCGAGUUUUAAACAAAGAUCCCUAACCUACAUACCCCCGAGACUCGGGGAAUCAGACUGCUUGUAGUUUGACUCAAUCGGUAGAAAAGAUAAUCUUUUAUUUCAGACGAUCUUUGGCUCAGGAUGGGUGAUAAGUUGAUAGAGUUGUGGAAAAGAGGUUUGUAACCUAUUAACCAUGAAUGUGGAGAUCUUCACAUCCAUAGGUAAGAAAUUCGCUGGACAUAAUUUCUCAAAACUCUAAGUAUGUGUCACCCAAAUUCGAAAGAGAGAGAAGGUUACCAUCGAUAUGAGUUUAGAAAUAACCCGAAGGUGAAGCUGAAACAAACAUAUCCCGGAGUACCCAUAUGCCUUCUAAAAGGGGUGUGGUUUGAUUGGUGGGGGCGAUCAUCCUUAGCUCGCGUCCAAAGAGUUUGACGCCCCUCUCUAGACUAUGUCCCAUUUUGCUGUUAAGAAAAAGUUCCACGUUAUGCUGCGUUAUUUUUGGAUUCUUCCGCACCUGUGGGUUUUUUUUUUGAGAUUUUCAUCCUCUUGGAUGCUCUCGACAAUGUCUCAAACAAAAAUCAUUAGUGCUAAACACAAUUCUUGAAAAAGGUAUAUAGUCUUUACCAUUUUUCCACAUGAGUUGUCGCCUGAACAACAAAGUCAUCCUUUUAUGUACCAGUUUGGAAGGAGAUGACUUGCAACAACAGACACAACAAACCUCUUGGUUUUUGCAUAAUUAUCCCAUUUUUCGGUUGAAUAUAUCUUCAAAAUGGGGUGGUCCUUUUGGACACCGAUGACACUUUAUGCAAAACGAUCCUUGCAAUCGUGUAAUCUUAUACUGAUGUGAUAACCCUUUGGUCACCUACAAUGCUUAUUGUAUGAUAAAUUCUCCCGUUAUUGCCAAUAAUUCUUUAAAUAUGAUCUCAGGUAAGUUUUGUACAUCUUUUGUAUCGAUACGACUUAUAGAUUUCCCUUGAGUUGUCAAUCUUUGGAUAAUAUUGUGCAUUAUUUGAUAUUGGAUACGAGGAGACUUAUAGAUAUCCUUUGAAUUGCUAGCCCUUAGGUAAUCUUGCACAUUAUCCGACCUUGGAUAAGAGAUGGCUUACAGAUAUCCCUCCAAUUGCUAGUUCUUAGGUAUUUCUGCACAUCAUCCGACCUUGGAUACAAUAUGACUUAUGGAUAUCUCUUAAAUUGGUAGUCUUUGGGUAACCCUACACAUAAUCUAUCUUGGAUAUGACGCGGCUUAUGGAGAACUCUUGGACUUAUCAAUUUGAUAAUCUCGCAUAUUCUCCGGUAAGGAUUUAGGUGUGACUUAUGGAUAAACUUCAAACUAUCAAUUUUUGGUUAACCUUGUAUACUAUUUGAUUAGGAUGUUGUUGUGGCUUAUGAAUGACCUAUGAACUAUAAACUCAUAGGUAAUCUUGCACCCUAUCCUAUUUCAAAUAAUAUGACCUAUAGAUGACCCUAGGAUUGUCAAUUGCUAGGAAGUCUCAAAUGUCGUUCUCUUUCAGAUAGCGACUUAAAGACAUCUCUUUGAAUCAUGUGCUUUUGAUACAUUUAGAUGAUAAUUCAUAAAGUGAUGAGAUAUUCUCGACGUCAGCGUAUGAUAUCUCGCGUUUUAAUAGAUAUUAGAUGUUGAUGAUAUCCUCGAUGCCAACGUAUGUCAUCUUACAUGUUAAUAGAUAUUAGAUAUUGAUGAUAUCCUCAACGCCAGCGUAUGCUAUCUCGCAUGUCAACAGAUAUUAGAUGUUGAUGAUAUCCUCGAUGCUAGUGUAUGCUAUCUCACGUGUCAAUAGAUAUUAGAUGCUGAUGAUAUGCUUGACGUCAGCCUAUGCUAUCUCGCGUGUCAUCAGAUAUUUAGAUGUUGAUGAUAUCCUCGACGCCAGCGUAUGCUAUCUUGUAUGUCAUCAGAUAUUUAGAUGUUGAUGAUAUCCUCGACACCAGCGUAUUCUAUCUCGUGUAUCAUCAGAUAUUUAAUGUGGAUGAUAUUCUCGACACCAGCGUAUGCUAUCUCGCGUCUCAUCAGAUAUUUAAUGUGAAUGAUAUCCUCAACUCUAGCGUAUGCUAUCUUGCGUAUCAUCAGAUAUUUAAUACGGAUGAUAUCCUUGAUGCCAGCAUAUGCUAUCUUGUGUGUCAACAGAUACUAAAUGCUAAUGAUAUCCUCGACGCCAGCGAAUACUAUCUCGCGUGUCAACGGAUAUUAAAUGUUAAUGAUAUCCUCGACGCCAGUGUAUGCUAUCUUGCAUGUCAAUAGAUAUUAAAUAUUGAUGAUAUUCUCUACACCAGCAUAUGCUAUCUCGUGUGUCAACAGAUAUUAAAUGCUAAUGAUAUCCUCGAUGCUAGCGUAUGCUAUCUUGCAUGUCAAAAUAUAUUAAAUGUUGAUGAUAUCCUCGAGCCAGCGUAUGCUAUCUCGCGUGUCAUCAAAUAUUUAGAUGUUAAUGAUAUCCUUGACUCCAGCAUAUGCUAUCUCGUAUGUCAUCAGAUAUUUUAUGCGGAUGAUAUCCUCGAUGUCAGCGUAUGCUAUCUCACGUGUCAUCAGAUAUUUAAUACGAUGAUAUCCUCGAUGCCAGCGUAUGCUAUCUUGCGUGUCAACAGAUAUUAAAUGCUGAUGAUAUCCUCGAUGCCAGCGUUUACUAUCUCGCGUGUCAACAGAUAUUAAAUACAAUGGCCUUUUCGGCAAUGAAAUGAGAUAAAAUAGCCUAUUUGGUAAUGAGUUGAUAUGAAAUGGCCCUCUUUGCAAUGAGAUAAUAUGAAAUGGUUUUUUCGAUGAUUUGAAAACAGUUUCACCUGAGUUCGUUUGUCAGCAUUUUGCUUUCUACAUGUACCUGUACUCAAGAUAGACAGUUAGUAGACACAAUGUCGCUCUCACUGGCGACCACAGUCAAGUUUUAUGACAGUUAAAUGACGAAUAUUGAGCAUCAUAAUUUGAAUGACUUGAUCCAAUAUUAAUAUUUUUUUUGAAGAAAUAAUUAAAUAAUGAAUCUAUCAGAUGCAAGGAAAUGAGGCAAAGUCCUUGUUUGGUGAUUACUCAAAUGCCAUUUGCUUCGUUCCAAGGCGAAUUUUGAGGAUGACUUUCUGCUCUUCCUCCUAUUGAGUGAUCCUCUGGAUUGUUGUAUUUAUUGUGUCGUCUCCCUUGAAUGUACCUUUGUUUGUCCUUCAUGGUCUCCAGAAAUGAGAUAGACAAUUCAAAAGGUCCUCGAUAAAUGGGUAUUAACCCAUCUUUGGGGCUACCCGGAAAUACCGUUCUUGAGCAUCAUAUUCACUGGUGGCUCCCAACUUGCUUGGGGAUUUUUUGAAAAGGAUUUCCAUCUUUGUGUUUUUAUCCCUACAUCCAUAGAAACAUAGUUAGUUUUGAAUGAAACUACUCCGUGUUGACGUCCUUCGAUCCUUGGUUUUCUCCUUGCCAUCUUUCUGGUGCUCCAUCGUGUUAGGACCCCUACUCUGACUCCCCGUUUCAAUAGCUGCCUAGACAAUAACUAAGUAAAAAGAUUUGUAUAGAUUUUUGAAAGUAGUCUUAGCUUUUAGAAACUAGUUUCAAAAAUUCUUGUAAAAGCUUUGAAAAAUCUCUAUCAGUUAUGUCAUGUACUAGCUCAACGAAUGUCUUCAUCUUGGUUCUGAAUGUAUCUGACAUUUGAUGGAGAAAAUCCAGGGAUUCAUCAUCAUCGAGUAGGGGUGGGCAUGGUAUGGUAUAUACCGAAUAUCAGAUCGAAACUAAAAAUUUUUAUACUGCGGUAUGGAUAUUAUGGUAUUUGGUAGAAAUUUUAAAUUAUUUUGGUAUUGGGUACGGUAUUUGGUAUUUAUGCAAUAAAUACCGAAAUACCGUAUACCGCAUCAAAGUUUUUAAAUAACAUAUAAAACCCACAUAUAUAUUAUAUUUAAGAUUAUUAAAUAUAUUUAUAUAUCAUCCAUUAGCCAAUUGAACACAAAAGUAACUUUUAUUAAGAAAUAAAUUUUUUGGGAAGCUUAUUAUUUAGGAGUACUAUGAUUAAGUUUAGGUAAUGUUGUUUGGAGUUUGCACCUCGCACUAUUCAAUCAUGAUUGAAAUGUUUUAUUUUGUGUAAUUGAUUAACAAAGAUAGUUGUUAGUCUAAUAUGAUUGAGACAUUUUUAAAAUUUAAAGUUAUAGUUUUUUUAUAUGAAUAUAUGUAAAUAGAAAUCAAAUAAAGUAUGGUUACCGAAUUACCAUAUCGUAAAAUACCAAAAUCAAAUUUAAAAAUACUGAACCAUACCAAACUAAUUUGGUAUGGUAAUGGUAUUUUUCUUUUAGAUACCGAAAAUCAAAGUUAUCGUACCGAAGUUUAAAAUAUUGUACCGUAUCGUACCAUGCCCUCCCCUAUCGUCGAGGCUGUCUACCAGAAGUUCUAUCAUAGUCGGAGAUUUAGUCAAUCUAGACUUUGUCGCAGCUGGUGAUUUCUAAAACUUGACUUUCACCUCUGGUGCUAGGAGACUUGAAAUAUAUUCCAGUAUAUUAGAGAAAAUUUUGAGGACCCCCUCAAAAUUUCUACCCAGUUUAAAGUUGUUUGAGACGAUCCCAGAUCGAGCGGAUCCGAAGUCUUUAUUUGUAUGACCCCGCAAAAUUUCUAGCUUAAUUCAGUCCUUUAAGCUUGUCAAGUGGUCCCAGGCUUAGAAGAUUCUAGCUAAGUUUUCAGAAUUAGUUUAUUUUUAGCCUACGAAAGUUGGCAAUCUCAUUUCGCGACCUUAAUGUUCUUUAGUGGUCUAUAUUUUUGUUAAUUCAUGAUCAGGAAGGUCAAUAGGUGUUUUCGAACAAGUUUUGGAUUUUUUGGACCGUGUUUAGACCACGUUCGGAAUUCCAAAACAGUGGAACACACGAUCUUGACGCGCCGCAUUGCCUAUCGCUUUGGUUAAUAUUGUUCCAGGUUGCCAGAGUCAAACUCCUGAGACACGGCACGAUCAUGGCAGGAUGCAUCGAGUAUCGCAUUGAUUUCAUCAAUGAGCCGCGUCGACAACUGCAUCGAUGCCCAGUUUUCAUUCAUUAAAUGACUGCAUCCUUAAGGGUAAUUAGGUCUUUUUCCCCCAACCUUCAUCCCUCAUAACAUGAAACUUAGCCCCUUUUUGGCUAAAUUCAUUCACUAUUUCACAAUUUCUCAAGAAUAAGAAAACCCUAGGUGAUUAAUUCAAAAUCAAGAACUCAAACUCUCCUCCACUAAUCUUCAAGAAAUCAUCAACCAAGGUAUGUAAAGUGUUCAUCCAAGGGUCCCUUUCACCCUUGGAGCUCGAGAAAUCCUUUUCAAAAUAUAAAUUUUGAAUUCCAUGUUGUGGGCUUGAUUGUACACAUGUUAAUGUUGUGAUAUGACUUCCAAGAUUGAAUCUUUAUUAAAUUUUCAUGACUUUAUGUUAGUAUGUGGAUUAAAAUCCUUAAAUUUGAAGUGCUUCAUAUAGCCAUGAUGUAUUAGUUGUUGAUUUAUGCCUUAGAAAAGGUUAUACCUUCCAUGUGUUUGUUAAAAUGCCUAAGUGAAUAAGAAUUGUGCAUUUAAACCUAUUUGUGAUCUAAAUGAUGAAUUCAUGAUGUACCUACAUGUUCAAAAUGACUCUCAUGCUUAAGUUAUCUCUUGUAAUGAUUUGGUAAAAUGCUCAUAAGUAUGGAUUUGUGAAAUUAUGUUAUGUUAGCACACAUUCUUAUUCAUGUGUAAGCUUAUAACCUACAAAUACUUCAUGAAAUCCCUGAAUGGUUGUAUUGUGAAUUGUUGACUAUGGUCAUGUGUUCAAAAAGUGUCAUGUCCUAUUUAUAUUCAUGCUAUCGAGUCCUGGGGGUAUUUAAUACCCAACAAUUUAGCUGUAUGCCUAGAGCCAGUGUCAAUUUUUAAGAUAACCUUAGUCAAACCAUGAUCAGUAGUACUCUCAGUCAAGUUUCAGAACUUAGACAGUUACAUGACUUAUGAAGCUCAGUAGAUCCAGUAUCAGUUCAAUCCCAUUCUGUAUUCAGUUCAGUUCUCAGUAAAUUCAGUCAGUUAAUCGAACUCAGUAGUAUUCCGUCAGUCAAUGAAACUCAGUAAACUUAGUUUAGUUAUACAGUAAAAUUAGUAACAACUCAGUUAAUCCUAGUGUGAACUAGAAAAUCAGUUCAGUAUCUAUUUAGUUAGGAGUAAGAUUCAGCACCGAGUGAACCCAGAGAUGGGGGCUCACUUGUCAGUCAGUAGAGGGUGUGAUCCUUAGAAGCAAUCCUUGUAUUUCCAGAACUACGUAACCAGCGUAGGUUGAGAUAUAUCUCUACGAGUCUAGGAUUAAUACAUUUUAUUCAAGUUCUCCUACCAGCGAGGGAUUGACGGAAAAGCUCCCUGUCAGCAGAGGGUUAACUCACAACUUGUAUUUACCCGUGGCACGGUAUUGAUACCCUUCAAACUGGGGUCACAGGUUAAACCCCACCAGCUCAGUUAUGGGGCAUGUCGGUUAGAUGAUUACCUCCUACAGUAUCAGUCUCAGUUUUCAGUAAGAAACUCAGAUAGUUCCUCAGAUUUUAGGACUGUUAGAUACAAUCACUCAGCUCAGUACGGAACUCAACUAGUUCCAUCAGAAUUAGGACUGUUAGAAACAGUUAUUCAGUUAACAGUACAUUAGUUAUCAGUAAUCCAUGUUAUCAGUAAACUUAAUAUAGUUCUACAAAUUUAGAAUUGUCAGAUACAGUCAUUCAGUUACCAAUUAUACAGUAUCCGUAGACUUAAACAUCUAUUAAUCAGUAUUCAAAUUUAGUAUUUAGCAUUAUCACGACCUCAGUUACAGUACACGUAUUUAUGCACGUAUUCUCACGCAAUCAUAUUCAUGUUAUUCAGCCAGUUAUAGUUCAUACAUAUGAACCCUUACAUUCAAACUACCUCACUUUGCAUACCAAUACAUUCUCACGUACUGACGCAUACUUUUCUCUUGCGCUAUGGUGUUUUAUGCCAUAGGUUUGGACGUUUGGUUCUCGAUCACACUUAGCAGUUCAGAUUUCAGCAAUCAAAGUCAGUGGUGAGUCCUCAUAGUUCGAGGAUGUGAUUAUUUCAUUAUUUUAGUGCUUCAGUACUAGCUUAUUUCAACAGUUAGAGUUAGUUGGGGACAUGUCCCAUCAAUUCCUUAUUCAGACAGUUUAGAGGCUUUUUCAGACUAGAGUAUUUCAGACAGUUAUUGUUUUUUUAGUUUUGGUAUUAUUAUACCUUGAUCAGACAUUGUUUAUUUAAGUUUUGAACCUUAUGGCAAGUUUUUCGCCAAAUUUCCGCAUUUAUUUCAGUUAUAUUGUUAUUACAGUAUUACUAUUAUACAGUGGUCACAACAGAUACCGGUCAUGGGUUAGCUAGUGAUUCUUCGGGAUUUUUAGCACAGUGUAGCAUCCGGGGUAUCAGACUCGGGGCGUUACAUUGUUGGUUUCCAUUCUCUUUGUUAGAUGAUUAUCUUCCUCUUAUGAAUUUUAGAAAUUCCUUCUUGAAAAUUCUUCCCCAGUUUCUAUUUCCUGGGUUAUAUGAUCGAGCUGUUGGGGUGCCUACGUAUCCCGUUGAAGUAGAAAUCGGGUCAAACAUAGUUCAGAACUACGCUAAGGAUAUAUAGAAAAAUUUAGUGGGUUGAUCGAAGCCGAUAUAGGCCGCCUACGUAUCUCAUUCUUGAGAAUUCAAGUCAUCACGUAUUUCAUACAUAAAAGUAAAGGAUAACUUCUCCAAAGGGGUUGAUCGAAGCCUACAUAGACCGCCUACGUAUCCCUUUCUUAGGAAUUUAGGUCAAACGUAGUUCAUACAUAAAAAAAAAAAGGAUAACCUCUCCUAAGGGGUUGAUCAAAGCCGACAUAGGCCGCCUACGUAUCCCUUUCUUGGGAAUUCAGGUCAAACGUAGUACGUACAUAAACUCAUAUUCAGGGUUAAAUGGUCUUAGAUACUCUUACCCAUCCUACUAAGAUAGAAAUAAGCACAUGAAGCUCUUAUUAACAAAAUGAAAGAUCAACUGUCCAAUUUUCCUUUAAGAGAAUUGAUAAGCUUCCUUUUCCUCCCUUUUGUAGAUAGACAUCGACCCUGAUUCUCUUAACUUAGUCAUUGUCCUUCUAUUCAACCACUUCGUUUUCUCUAGAUUAGGUUUCCUUGAUUCUCGAACUCUUUGACUCUUUUGUUGACUGUCCUAGGGCUAUUAUUACCUUGCUUCUUGGCAUGACAUGACAAUUACAGGUUUUAAGUUACUGUUAUACGACGGGUGAUGAGUCAUGAGUAGAGUGGAGGUCCAAUUCAACAAUGUUUCCUCCAAUUAAUCUUCCAUGAUCCCGAUUGUCUUGGAAAAUUAUCCCCUCACAUUUUCUUUAUUCCAUCCUCGAGACCAUCGCUUAAAUGUUUUGAAAAAUAAUUGGUAGAGUCCAGUUUUACUACUAGUCAUUUUUCUUUUUCUGUAACAAAACUAUAGUCAAGAAGGGGAUCUUUUAUUCAUUUUGAUCUGGUGAAGUAAGGCCAUUUUGUGCCAACACAAAGUAGUUUCUAUUACCUGCAAAGUAAAAAUAACUCAAAGGCCGAUGUGUUAGAUUUCGUUAGUAAUAAGAAAAGAAAAAUGAUAAGGUAGGAAGUAAACAGAUAGAGUUGUUUCUCAUCUCAAUCGAAUUGAUCCAUGAAGUAACGAUGACUCGAGAAUUUCAAUGGACAGGAUUUUGCUCAAUGAUAUGGAUAGGUGAAAUUUAUCGGGAACACUCAACUUUUCUACUUUUUGGCCUUAUUACUUCUUUUUAAAAAGUGGAGGACAACAGAGCUUUUGAACACAUGGGCCAGGCCGGAAGGCUGCCUACGUAUCUCACAGAGGAGAAAUCAGGCCCUACGUAGUUCAAAGCUAUGAUGGCUUUUUCUGAUUCUAAAUUCAACUUUCCUAAAAUGAUAGCGAUCAUUUUGGAAGUUUUAAGAAUGACUGCAGACUUUUCUGAGAAACUUGGGAGACUUGGAGUACGUUUUGUCGGACUUUUGUAUAGUGGGGUAUAUUUCUGCCUAGAGAUGUUCUAUGAAAAAGGGGAUUGGAUCAAUUCAUCUUUGAUUUGAAUCAACAUAACACGUAUAAGAACAUAAACAGUUAUAUUACACAAACAUAUUGUAAUAAACGUGCAUCCUAAUUGGGUGACCCUUUUGAGCUAAUGGUUUAGGCCGAACGCAUUUUGAAGAAAAUAUACGUCUUUUUAAAGCCAAUUCAUUAUCCCCAAAAACCUUCAUAGGUAUACACAAAUGACAUAAAUAUCUACAAAAGUUGCACAAAAGGGAUACAAUCUUUAGGGAAAGGAAAAAUAACAUGAGAAAAAGAAUAAUGUCCCGCGCAUUGGAUAAGAAAUACUAGUUCUUGAAUACUCUUCUAUCAGCCUUCGCCCUCUUAGCUUUAUCCACUUCUUGUCAUUGGCGAGAUUCGUUGAUGAUCAAGCAAUUUCUGUAUAGCUGUGCCCUAGAUGCAACCGUUCAAAUCGAUCAAUUUCUUACUUGGCUUGCUUUAUUUCUUCUCUUAAUUGGUGUAUGAUUGAGGCUCCUUACACGAAAGUAAGCAAAUCAAGCAUUCGCCCGACCCCCAAAGGAUAAUGGAUUGGAUUAAAUAAAUAGAUAUUUAUUCAACACAUAAAUAUGAUUCAUCUGUAAUUGACUCAGGGUCAAUAAACGUCGGGCAGGUUUUCAAAUGGGCCCAAUAUCCCCUCGGGUAUUGGGUCAUUCUAGGAUCGUACCUAAAAUAGAAUUUUGGUUUCGCUCUAUCCUAGGUGUCUAGAGUGGAUUUGAACCAAGUUCCUAAGCGGACAACUUGGACUUGGAAAUACGAACAACCAUCAGAUGUCUCACGUGCUAAUAAACUAUUGUAUUUGCAACACUUUAUUUGGAGUUGAACAGCAGGGGCCGGGACAUCCAUGAAACCCCAAAACAAUUUAAUAAUUCAUGGGGGAUUAUGCAAUGAGAUGCAAUAAUUAAAUUACGUAAAAUCAAAACAUAUAAAUACGUAAGAAAUUUAAACAAUUAGUCAAAAAAUGAAAUCAAACUUUGGUUAGAUCCUAGUUAAAUUCCCCAGUGGAGUCUUCAUUUCUGUUUUACAAAAAUUUUGAUUUUUGAAAGUCGCCACUUAAUUUAUUUGAAAAGGAAUUAAGACAACCUUUAUAAAGUACUUGAACGAUUCAAAACAAGAAAAUAGUCCAAGUUAGAGAUUCUAGGUAAGCGAUUCCUAUUAACAUUCUAGGAAGUUUUUAAGGCACCUAAAACGUCCACUAACUUGCGAUUAUCCGAACUGCUUGAAAGUAUCUUUUGACUAACUUCAAAAAGAUUGAUUGUUGAAAUAUGAUUGAUUUUAGGAAAAGACUUGUGUAAAAUAGAUUUGGACGACUUAGUAGGGAUUUUAACUAAGUCUAAAUAAACUAACAACAAAGCAUGAAAAAGGAAAAGGAAAAAAUUAAAAGACUUAUGCCAUUGGACCCAAACCAAUAAGUCCUAUCCUAAUAUAAUUGGGAUUUUGGCCCACUUGCACCUUUCCUAAUCUAAAUGUUGGGCCUUGGCCCGUAACCUGUCCUAAACUAUUUUUCUAACCCGUUGGCCUAAAAUCUGCUCCACCUGUAUUAAAUGUACAACUUUGGCUUCGAGGCCCAAAUGAAUGAAUAAUGCAAUGAAGAAAUAAGUAAAUAAUAAUAAAAGGACAACAAUAAAUGAAGAAAAAUAAGACUUUCGAGUCUCUUUACCACUUUAAAGAUGGAACUUUAACCCAUUUUUCUUCUUUCGACUUCUGGUAUUCAUAUGCCAUGAGAUUACAUUUUUGGGCCUUCGAAGUUGACUCAGGAUGGAUGAGCCUCAUUGGCCAACAUCGAUAAUGCCACAACGGGAUAGAGUCCAUUUGGACUCGAAUGCGGGUUUGUGCGAAGAAAAGGUACAAAUAUUUAAUACAUGCAUGUAUAUACAUAUGAUAAAUUAGCAACUAAUCAUGUUGAAAAUUUUAUGAUAUUAUAAAAUAUACUCACACACAAAUUAAAAAUAAAAACAAUGAUUCAUGAAAAAAAAGAUAAAGGUAAAAAUAGCAAAUUCUCAUGAUUUCGAGUAACUGAAGUUAAGCAAUAUUAUUUUAAGGCUACAUCAAAAUUUGGUAGAGUAAGGACAUGAAUUGGACACCUAAAAAUAUUAGUGAAUAAACAAGGGAGAGGGGUAGUUAACAAGUGAGAACACAAGCAAACAAAGAACAAGUAAAUUUGUAUGCCAAAAGAAUCUCAUAUCAUAAGAGUUAUUACCUUGAACAAACACGCAAUGGAUUAACUGUAGGUUAAUAAAACUUGAACAAAACCAUGAAUUUCAAUCACAACAAAUAAUAUUUAUACUACUAAUCCGAUGGGCGAAAGGACUACAAUAUGUUGUCUUGUGUUCUAUAUGAUCACCAAAGUAAAAAUUCAAUGAAAAGAAUCAACAAAAAAGCUGCAUUAGUCAAGAAGGUUUUCAAACUUUCUAUCCAAACUUUCAAUUAAGCGUUAAGAUUACACCAAAAUGGAACUUAUCAAACAAAAAGAACUGGUGAUAAUAAACAAAACUUAAGAUGUCUGAAUGAAAAUAAUUAGUUAAAUUUUGAUCCCAUCAAGAAACUAAAACUAAAAUCAGUAGUUGAUACGUGAAAACCAAAGAGGAAUAAAACCACAGAAUCUUUUAAAUAAUCAGGAUUAAGUAUUAAGAAAAGGAUCCAUUUAUAUGAAAACAAUAUUCAGAUAAAAUUUAAGACUACACAAGAUAUCGAAAUGUAUUAUUUUCCUUUUAUACAGCUAGGCUACAAGAACAUCAACACACUCAAACCAGGACCUCAAAAACAUUAUUACGAAGCCAAGAGAAUGUUAACAACAUUCAACGUCAAGAGAAAACAAAACAAUUAUGAGUGAAACAAAUCAAGAACAUACUAUGCAGAAUUUAGUCAAGAUGUAAUUUUUCAACCAAGUAGUUAAACAAAUCGUGAUAUAGAGCUCGAGUCAAUCAAUUUUCGAUCAAUAAGAUAUUUUACAUUCGAGCAGGACAAGACGAGGAAGAAAUCAUUUUUAAGAUUUUAUACUUUAGCAAGAUAAACAACACGAAAAGAUUCACUAAAAACACACAACGAGACAUAUUUUACAGCAACUUACAAACAACACAAAAAGAGAUUAUAACUAUACGAUUAUCGCAGCAAGAAUAUCAUCGCAACUAUACCUAUGGCCUUCGAGGCCUCUACAGCAAGCAAUCCCAGCAUACAACAACUAUGAUUACUAAACUAUAGAGAAAGGAUUAAGAAGAAAACAAUGGCGAAUUAAAAGUAAAGGAGUUUACCUUGUUCGAGGCAACAAAAUUGUACUCGAGCUGUUAUCGAAAUCUCCUCGCCACCACCGAAAGCCAAGAUUAAAUCCAAAACUAACUAAGAGAAAUUUCAAUUGUAAUUUCCUUUUCCUCGAAUAUUUUGAAGUUUAUUCCUCAAAGGCCCUUUUUCUUUUUUUUUUCUCCUUCCUCCUCCUUUUCAAUGAAAACAGCAAGAAUAUCUAUAGGUAAAGCUUUAGGAUCCAGUUUUUAUUCCUUUCGAGGUGGGAUGGGAAAAUGGAUAGAAAUUCGAGGAGAGGAUUUCAAAAUUUCAAAAUAGGAUUAAUAUCCACCAUCCACCUAUGUACGAAUCGGACAAUGGUAAGAUAUUAUACCAUUGAGAGAGACAGUUGGACAAUUUCUAGGCUCUUCUAGAAGCGGACAGCUCAUCAAUCGCACAUAAAUGAUGAUUUUAGGACUGCAUCGGUUGUCAAUGCAUGAUGUUAUGUUUAUCAUGGGUUCAGGUCGGCAGGUCUGGUGCGGGUCACCGUUUAUGGUGGGCGUUGGAACUAGUCAGUUCGGAGAUUACUGGUUGAAAUUGUCGUUAUUGUUGAUGUUUAUA